RNAcentral lists this ribosomal RNA (468 nucleotides) under uncultured bacterium. RNAcentral's name for it is "partial 16S ribosomal RNA". It matches the Rfam family "Bacterial small subunit ribosomal RNA", at positions 28 to 507 of the family's 1533-position model. The record is from RNAcentral.
GACGAACGCUGGCGGCGUGCUUAACACAUGCAAGUCGAACGGAAAGGCCCUGCUUUUGUGGGGUGCUCGAGUGGCAAACGGGUGAGUAACACGUGAGUAACCUGCCCUUGACUUUGGGAUAACUUCAGGAAACUGGGGCUAAUACCGGAUAGGAGCUCCUGCUGCAUGGUGGGGGUUGGAAAGUUUCGGCGGUUGGGGAUGGACUCGCGGCUUAUCAGCUUGUUGGUGGGGUAGUGGCUUACCAAGGCUUUGACGGGUAGCCGGCCUGAGAGGGUGACCGGCCACAUUGGGACUGAGAUACGGCACAGACUCCUACGGGAGGCAGCAGUGGGGAAUAUUGCACAAUGGGCGGAAGCCUGAUGCAGCAACGCCGCGUGCGGGAUGACGGCCUUCGGGUUGUAAACCGCUUUCGCCUGUGACGAAGCGUGAGUGACGGUAAUGGGUAAAGAAGCACCGGCUAACUACGUG